UAGGGAAUCUUCGGCAAUGGACGAAAGUCUGACCGAGCAACGCCGCGUGAGUGAAGAAGGUUUUCGGAUCGUAAAACUCUGUUGUUAGCGAAGAACAAGGACGUUAGUAACUGAACGUCCCCUGACGGUAUCUAACCAGAAAGCCACGGCUACCUACGUGCCAGCAGCCGCGGUAAUACGUAGGUGGCAAGCGUUGUCCGGAUUUAUUGGGCGUAAAGCGAGCGCAGGCGGUUUCUUAAGUCUGAUGUGAAAGCCCCCGGCUCAACCGGGGAGGGUCAUUGGAAACUGGGAGACUUGAGUGCAGAAGAGGAGAGUGGAAUUCCAUGUGUAGCGGUGAAAUGCGUAGAUAUAUGGAGGAACACCAGUGGCGAAGGCGGCUCUCGGGUCUGUAACUGACGCUGAGGCUCGAAAGCGUGGGGAGCAAACAGG
Molecule: ribosomal RNA, 429 nt
Filed under: Gemmatimonadota bacterium
Lineage: Bacteria; Pseudomonadati; Gemmatimonadota
Description: Gemmatimonadetes bacterium partial 16S ribosomal RNA
Rfam family: Bacterial small subunit ribosomal RNA
Source: RNAcentral